GACGAACGCUGGCGGCGUGCCUAAUACAUGCAAGUCGAACGGGGAGUAAUUACUUCGGUUUCUACUCCUAGUGGCGAACGGGUGAGUAACGCGUUGGUGACCUGCCCCGAAGAGGGGGAUAACAGUUCGAAAGGACUGCUAAUACCCCAUGUGGUCGUACAGGUUAGAGGCUGAACGACUAAAGGAGCAAUCCACUUCGGGAGGGGCCUGCGUCCCAUCAGCUAGUUGGUAAGGUAACGGCCUACCAAGGCGAUGACGGGUAGGGGACCUGAGAGGGUGGUCCCCCACACUGGCACUGUAACACGGGCCAGACACCUACGGGUGGCAGCAGUAGGGAAUAUUGCACAAUGGGCGAAAGCCUGGUGCAGCAACGCCGCGUGCGCGAAGAAGGCCUUCGGGUUGUAAAGCGCUUUUCUGGAGGAAGAGGAAGGACGGUACUCCAGGAAUAAGGAUCGGCUAACUACGUG
Molecule: ribosomal RNA, 467 nt
Filed under: uncultured bacterium
Lineage: Bacteria
Description: bacterial SSU rRNA
Rfam family: Bacterial small subunit ribosomal RNA
Source: RNAcentral